UACGUAGGGUGCAAGCAUUGUCCGGAUUUAUUGGGCGUAAAGAGCUCGUAGGCGGCUUGUCACGUCGGGUGUGAAAACUCGGGGCUCAACCCCGAGCCUGCACUCGAUACGGGCUAGCUAGAGUGUUGCAGGGGAGACUGGAAUUCCUGGUGUAGCGGUGAAAUGCGCAGAUAUCAGGAGGAACACCUGAGGUGGAGACGGGUUGCUGGGCUGACACUGACGCUGAGGCGCGAAAGCUAGGGUAGCAAACGGG
This 253-nucleotide ribosomal RNA is filed under the name uncultured bacterium. RNAcentral's name for it is "partial 16S ribosomal RNA". It matches the Rfam family "Bacterial small subunit ribosomal RNA", at positions 524 to 776 of the family's 1533-position model. The record is from RNAcentral.